AAGUCGAGCGCUCAUUCGGUUGCAGCAAUGUAGCCGAGUGGGAGCGGCGCAAGGGUGCGUAACACGUGGGUAAUUUGCCAAAAAGUUUGGGAUAACUCGCUGAAAGGCGAGCUAAUACCGGAUGUGAUCAUCGGGCGGCAUCGUUUGAUGAUUAAAGUUGGGGACCGUAAGGCCUGACGCUUUUUGAUAAGCCCGCGGCCUAUCAGCUAGUUGGUGAGGUAACGGCUCACCAAGGCUAAGACGGGUAGCUGGUCUGAGAGGACGACCAGCCACACUGGAACUGAGACACGGUCCAGACACCUACGGGUGGCAGCAGUCGAGAAUUUUUCACAAUGGGCGAAAGCCUGAUGGAGCGACGCCGCGUGGGGGAUGAAUGGCUUCGGCCCGUAAACCCCUGUCAUUUGCGAACAAACCUUGCUAUUUAAAAGAUGGCGAGCUGAUUGUAGCGAAAGAGGAAGGGACGGCUAACUCUGUGCCAGCAGCCGCGGUAAUACAGAGGUCCCAAGCGUUGUUCGGAUUCACUGGGCGUAAAGGGUGCGUAGGUGGUGAGGUAAGUCGGAUGUGAAAGCUCCGAGCUCAACUCGGAAAUGGCAUUGGAAACUACCUUGCUCGAGGGUUUGAGGGGGGACUGGAAUACUUGGUGUAGCAGUGAAAUGCGUAGAUAUCAAGUAGAACACCAGUGGCGAAGGCGAGUCCCUGGAAAACUCCUGACACUGAGGCACGAAAGCUAGGGGAGCAAACAGGAUUAGAUACCCUGGUAGUCCUAGCCGUAAACGGUGCGUA
RNAcentral lists this ribosomal RNA (783 nucleotides) under uncultured Verrucomicrobiota bacterium. Its description in RNAcentral is "bacterial SSU rRNA". It matches the Rfam family "Bacterial small subunit ribosomal RNA", at positions 59 to 815 of the family's 1533-position model. The record is from RNAcentral. Lineage: Bacteria; Pseudomonadati; Verrucomicrobiota.